Molecule: ribosomal RNA, 498 nt
Filed under: uncultured bacterium
Lineage: Bacteria
Description: partial 16S ribosomal RNA
Rfam family: Bacterial small subunit ribosomal RNA
Source: RNAcentral
GACGAACGCUGGCGGCGUGCCUAAUACAUGCAAGUCGAACGAGAGCACCCGGUGCUUGCCCUGGUCAAUCUAGUGGCGAACGGGUGAGUAACACGUGGGUAACCUGCCCAUCAGAGGGGGAUAACAUCCGGAAACGGAUGCUAAAACCGCAUAGGUCUUCGAACCGCAUGGUUUGAAGAGGAAAAGAGGCGCAAGCUUCUGCUGAUGGAUGGACCCGCGGUGCAUUAGCUAGUUGGUGAGGUAACGGCUCACCAAGGCCGUGAUGCAUAGCCGACCUGAGAGGGUGAUCGGCCACAUUGGGACUGAGACACGGCCCAAACUCCUACAGGAGGCAGCAGUAGGGAAUCUUCCGCAAUGGACGCAAGUCUGACGGAGCAACGCCGCGUGAGUGAAGAAGGUUUUCGGAUCGUAAAACUCUGUUGUUAGGGAAGAACAAGUGCUAGAGUAACUGUUAGCGCCUUGACGGUAUCUAACCAGAAAGCCACGGCUAACUACGUG